CAGCAGCCGCGGGAAUACAGAGGGUGCAAGCGUUAAUCGGAAUUACUGGGCGUAAAGCGCGCGUAGGUGGUUUGUUAAGUUGAAUGUGAAAUCCCCGGGCUCAACCUGGGAACUGCAUCCAAAACUGGCAAGCUAGAGUAGGGCAGAGGGUGGUGGAAUUUCCUGUGUAGCGGUGAAAUGCGUAGAUAUAGGAAGGAACACCAGUGGCGAAGGCGACCACCUGGGCUCAUACUGACACUGAGGUGCGAAAGCGUGGGGAGCAAACAGGAUUAGAUACCCCGGUAGUCCCUGUCUCUUAUAC
Molecule: ribosomal RNA, 301 nt
Filed under: uncultured bacterium
Lineage: Bacteria
Description: partial 16S ribosomal RNA
Rfam family: Bacterial small subunit ribosomal RNA
Source: RNAcentral